RNAcentral lists this ribosomal RNA (440 nucleotides) under uncultured bacterium. RNAcentral's name for it is "partial 16S ribosomal RNA". It matches the Rfam family "Bacterial small subunit ribosomal RNA", at positions 338 to 795 of the family's 1533-position model. The record is from RNAcentral.
CCUACGGGAGGCUGCAGUGGGGAAUAUUGCACAAUGGGGGAAACCCUGAUGCAGCGACGCCGCGUGAGUGAAGAAGUAAUUCGUUUUGUAAAGCUCUAUCAGCAGGGAAGAAAAUGACGGUACCUGAGUAAGAAGCCCCGGCUAACUACGUGCCAGCAGCCGCGGUAAUACGUAGGGGGCAAGCGUUAUCCGGAUUUACUGGGUGUAAAGGGAGCGUAGACGGCAGUGCAAGUCUGGAGUGAAAGGCGGGGGCGCAACCCCCGGACUGCUCUUGAAACUGUACGGCUGGAGUGCAGGAGAGGUAAGUGGAAUUCCUAGUGUAGCGGUGAAAUGCGUAGAUAUUAGGAGGAACACCAGUGGCGAAGGCGGCUUACUGGACUGUAACUGACGUUGAGGCUCGAAAGCGUGGGGAGCAAACAGGAUUAAAUACCCCUGUAGUC